Long non-coding RNA from Trachemys scripta elegans, 414 nucleotides. RefSeq lists it as uncharacterized. The transcript has 2 exons. The record is from RefSeq and is a predicted model, not a curated record. NCBI's taxonomy places the organism in Eukaryota, Metazoa, Chordata, Testudines, Emydidae.
CUGUGGUCUGUGCUGGUUCAGGAGGAAGGACGAUGCAUUGUUCUCCUCAAGAACGGGCUUACUAUGAAGUGCUCCACGCUGUGGCAGAAACUAACAUGGAGGAGGAGAGUGACAGACACAGUAGCCGUGCUCCUAUUUCGGAGACUGAGGAGAAGAAUGUGCCAGCACACAGGGAUGUGACCAGGAAGCACGAGCGUGGGGGAAUGGUCCCUUUACUAUUCCUUUCAGAAACUAAUCCACUGUGCUGCAGAGCCUGAGUCAGUACGAAUGACAAGCAUUUGAAGGAGUGGGUAUUUAUAGUGAAGUCUCCACAACCUGCCUUCACUCUGCCCAUCACCCACCUAACAGAGAGGGAUACACUUAUAUCCUAUUACAGUCAGAAAAUUUUGAAAUAAAUGACAACAGCUGAACACA